UCUUCCGUCUGGGCAUGCGCACUUCAUACUGUAAUGAACCAGAUUGCAAUAUGGCGAACAGACAAUGUCAAUCGGAAUCCAACGACGGUGGUGGCCUUCAGACACUUCAAGGUCGCAAAUCUCUCGAGGAUAAUGAAUUUAGCGAAUCUGGUACAAAGCGAAGAACUCGUUCUGGUAAGAUGCAACAAGAGAGCCGAUUGAAAAAGCAACGUAAGUCCGACGAAGACGAAACCAGUUACAGCAUUCAACAACAUGACGAAGAAGAAGAAGAAGAAGAAGCAGAAGCAGAAGAUGGUGGUGGUGGUGAUAGCAGUGGCGGCGGAGACAACAAAAACUCCGAUCCAUCGACACAAGGAGAUGCUUCGGCAUCCGGCGAACCCGAAUUAACUACGGAAGAGUUGAUUGCACGUGCCAAACGAGAAUAUAAUAAGGAGAGGAAAAUUAUUAUCCGGAAUGUUCCGCCUGUUACAUACGAGGAAGUAAAAGAGUUCAUUGGUGGACAUAGCAUUUCCAACAUUGUAAUCAGCAAGAAAUCUCGUCAUGCUAUUGUUACUCUUAUGAAUGGUGAAGAUGCUGAAGAGAUUGUGGAACAGCUGAGUGGUAAACAACUACUUGACACUGAUGUUACUGUUAGUUUGCACCCUAGUGAUAAAAUGUUGUGUCUUACGAAUCUCCCUGAAGAUUGUUUGGAAAUGGAAGUUCAUAAGUUACUGCUCACAUAUGGACCAAUGGAAAAAUUCUUUCUGAUGCGUUGUGAAGAAACUGGGGAAAGCAAAAAUUAUGCUAUAUUUGAAUAUUGCCACAAUAAGGAAAAGUCCACUUGUAUUAAAGAGGGUUUGAACUGUCAGAAAUACAAGAAUAAUCUUCUGGCAUGUGAUUUCAUUGAGGAAAAUUUGGUGGCUUCUUAUGACAAGUUGAACUCAAAAUGUCUUCUUAUUGAUGGUUUACCAAAAAACUUCAAGGAUACAGCUAAGUUAAAGGAUAUGUUCUCUACAAACCAGGCUCCCAUUUAUUGCCAGAUUGUUAUGAAAGAGAAUGAAUCUCAAGAGUGUGCUAUCGUUGAAUAUGCAACUGCAGAAGCUGCCGAGGCUACAUGGAAAUGCAUGAGAGAUACAGAAGUUGAGACCAAGAAAGUUGCAGUGUCUUUCUGCAUUCCAGGUUCAUCUGCAGUGUCCAUUUAUAACAAGAUUGUUCAGCAGAAGGAGAAGGUGGCCUCCCCAUUUCAAGCUGGAGCAGUAUUGAACAGCAUCAAAUCGGGUUUGUUGCCUGAUCCGGUAUUUCCAAACCCUUCAAUGAUGAGCAACCCUCUAGUCAAAGGCUUGGCUAAUCAGAAUCCAAAAUUGCUUGAGCAAUUUCACCAAGCUCUUCAGCUACUUCAGAAAACCUACAUACAUCAGACCAUCAUGAGAAAUGCCAAACCAGUUACAGGUCUUCUCGGCCCUGGUCCCAAUGUUUCCUUCAAUCCACUGAUGAACUCAAACAUGCAGCUUGGAUUGAUCAUUCUGCUUGCUCUCCAGAUGCAAGGACAAAGACAACAAUUAUUCACUGGACCCCUGGCCAACCAACUCAAUAUGCUCACUUCAGUUGGAGAACAGUCCAACUUUCAAGCUGUCCUCAAAGGACAGAAGCCUUCACUCUUGGGCGACCCUAUGACUGCUCAAGCUAACAUCCUCGUUCAGAAUUUAAUGUCUCAAAUGAACAAAGAACCAUCAUCAGAUGACAAAAAAGCAAGUGCUGCCAAAAGACAAAACCAAGAUGUGAAUCCUCUACCUACUGGUUUCAAUGAAGGAAAUGCCGCUUUGCCAAAACCUGUUAAGGUACCAUUUACUCAGACUCCAGUUUCUGAUGUUCAGAAAAUUCAAAACUUGAACAUCCAACAAUUGAUGGCACUUGGUCAGUUAAUGAGCACAAUGCAGAACAGCAAUAAUCUGCAAGGGUUGGCAGCAAACCUGAAUCAAGGAAGUGACAAGAAUACUUCCCAAACUGGUGCUUUCAUCUCAAACCAACAGCAGAAGAGCAACUGGGGUGGCUCACCAAGCAUGAAUAUUCCAUCACUCGCCAAUGCUAUUGGCAAGCCUGGUCUCCUUCCUAGCCCUAAUCAAAAAGCAGGUAGUUCUCCGGGCUUUGGAAACUUUAAUCAAAACAUGGUAGCAGCUGCUAACUUUAUGCGUAAUUUACAAGUUCUAGCUGCAGCUCAGCAGAUGGCCUCUAACAAGGGCAACACCAACUCCAAUCAGAGAACCACGCCUGUCAGUAAAGACAAGACUGCUAUGAUAGGAGCAGGUUCAUUGCUUGGAAGCCCUCCAGUAGUGAGUAAGUCCAAUUCCAGCAGUUCUUUCUCAGCUGGUAGAUCUGGAUCUCUUAACAGUUCUUACACCUCUGACAAUAGGAGCUACAGUGAUACAACUUCUCAGAGACUGAGCAGGGGUACAUACAGUUAUGAUACAUCCAAGAGAAGCAGCCUGUUGAAUGAACCAGAAGCAAGUCAAUCAAAUCAGUCAUCUGGAAGUUACGUAUACGACAGAAUGUCUUCUGGUUACUCAACGAGCCGUGGAACUUCAAGUUACAAUAGCCAGCCUCGAACUGGACAGUAUAGUUCAAGUUACAACUAUCAGACUGGAAACAAUGUUGGUUCUAGCAGUAGUUUGGUUCCAUCCACUAGCCUUGGUACUGGAACCACCAGUGCCACCACUGAUUACUCCAGCACUAUAUAUAACAACCAAUAUGGAACCACUAGCAAUGACCAAUAUUAUGACAACUAUAGUAAUUACUAUGACAAUCAGACUUACCAUUCUAACUAUUAUGACCAAAAUGAAGGGGAUGACAGUGAUGUUUAUAAUUCUGCUAAAAGCCAGGCAACUACUGACUAUUAUAACAAAGACUUGGCAAACAGCUACACACACUCUGGUUAUUCUGAUAACUAUACUGGAAGCAACGCAACUGCAAGCACUGGUCAAUAUGAAGGGAUAUAUAGUAAUUAUGGGAACAACACUGAUUCCAGCACUGGUUACUGGGGCUCAAGCACUAACACAUAUGGUACAAGUUCCUACAGUAAAGGAGCAUAUACAAAUGAUACUACUAGCCCCAGUUAUCAGUCAUCUUACUCCAACUACACCAGUCCAACACUGAGCAGCACCUAUGGAAGCACUUCAAACUAUGGCACCUCCUCUUAUUCCAGUCAUUAUGGUACUUCCACUAGCACCACUUCUCUGACAUCUCCUAUUGGUCAGAAACGAAGCUAUAGUCAUUUGUUGCCACCACCUGAAGCCAGUCCAGAAGGUGCUUAUGUCGGACAACACUCUCAAGGAAUCGGUGGUCAUUAUGCAGACUCCUAUGGGAAGAGAAAGCGUUAUGACACUAGUGUCACUGCAAAAGGGAGCAGCUACUAUUGACAUUGUUUUUUAACUUACCACAAUUAUUUCAAUGUCUUGACACUUGGGUGUUUUUUGGUUGGUUUUUUUUUUUUUUUAAUUUUUUUUUUUACCCUUCACCAUGUUUGAUCAUCUCUCUCUCUCUCUCUCUCUCACCUGUCAAAGACCACUUGCAAAGCUCAGAUGGAUGAACCAACAGACAGACAAUUCACUCAACUUUUCUCACCAACACUAUAGUUUAAUGUACAUUUUUAACAUUGAUAGAUGUAUCCUGGCUGGAUUAUUUUUAUUGUUGCUAUUAUCAUCAUCAUCAUCAUAAUCAUCAUCCUCAUCAUUAUUAUUGUUGUUGUUGUUGUUGUUAAGGUGAAAAGCAAAAUUGAUGGAGUGACUGGCAAUAUAUAUAUUGCAGUAUUUAGUUACAUCUCAUUACACUUUUAGUUCAACUGCUGCCAAGGUUGACUUUGUCUUUCAUCCUUCCGGGAUUGAUAAAAUAAAGUAUGAGUCAAAUGCUGGAGUUGAUCUAAUUGACUACACCUCUUCCUCAAAAACUUGUGGUCUUCUGCCUGUUAGAAAUUACUUCUAUUUACUACUGAGAUCUUUGGAACUAACGAAAGAAACAGCAUGUACAUUUUGCAAGUUAAAGUUCAUCAUCUUUUCUUUUUUACUUGGCUAAAUGAGUUUUGUGUGUGCAUGUGUGUGUGUGUGUGUGUGUGUGUGUGAGAGAGAGAGGGUAUAUGUUUAAUUUAAUGAUUGUACUAUUGUUUUCAUUAGCACACAACAUAAGAUUUGUUCUCAGUGUUGUCAUUUCUACCCAGUGUGAAAUUAUAAUGAAUUGAUUUUUGUUUUGUUUUUUAAUCUUUAUUUCUGUUUUAAAUUAAAAAGAAAAAAGAAUAUAAAUAUAUAUAAACAAACAACUCUAUGCAGGUGAUUGUGUGAAGAUAAAGUUUUUCUCCACCAAUGCCCUAAAUUUUCUGUUAAGUGAGAAAAAGAAACUAGUCUUAUUUGACAUGUCGUUGAAAUGGUUUAACAAAUAUUCUUAAAUGUUUAUCUAUCUUAUUCAUAUAUAUCAACAUCACUAUCAAAAUAGAUAUAUUUAACAAAUCCUCCUUCACACCCUUUCUAUACAUUAUUUUCACACAGCUGAUGAAAUAAAUUAAUCAGCGCAAAAUUAAUUUGAAUUUUCAUUUGCAGUUAGGUUUUACUGCCGUUUCUUAUCCCUCUUUUCAUUUUGUUGUUUUUUUUUAUUAGGGAGUGGCAGAAAUGAUAUAAUGUCAGAUGAAAUGCCUCCUACUAUUUAGUUUUGUCCCUUUGUGUUUUUAGCUUCAAAUCUUGUUCACUUCAUUUUUCACCAUUCCUCUGUGUGGUUGGGAGAGGAGGUGCCAACAAAAUAAGUGCCAGUCAUAACAAGGGUUGGGGUUCAAUUCAAUAGAAAUUACCUGUAUCUUUUACAAGUUAGUGGCUUUUUUGCCAAUAGGAAAAAUCAAUCGCAUACCUGACUAAAUAUCUUACAUUUUCAAUUCAAGUCCUGAUAGAACCAAUAUUUCAGCUCUUCGGGAUUAAUAAAGUUAACUUUCUCUUACAAAGAUCAUCCUUAUAUCUGAUCAGAGGUUUUUAUUUAUUUGUUUUUAACCUGUGUAGGCUGUUUUAACACAAAGCAAGAUUUGGACAUAUGAAUUUCUCAUCUUCAUAUCUCCUCCUGUUCUGAGGCUUAAUGCAAGUGUAAGAAACAUUUUUGUUGUUGUUAUUAUACUAAGUCUAGUUCUCCACAUUUUAGUAAUGUAAUAUAUAUUAUAAUUAGUUCCUUGCACUAAAUUGUUAAUUUUUAUCCACUCUGCUUUGUCUAUGUCUAUAUAUUUCUUUUCGUGUAUCAGUUCCUUUUAUUUCAGUCCCAGCACUAGAAUGAUUUUUUAAAAAUAGAAACAAAAACAGAAAAGAAUCCAUUUCUCAUUUGAUAAUAGGUAACUGAAUGUCUUUUUCCAAUGUUCCAUUUGGAGAAGAUUCCCUGAAAGAACACACUGAGUCAAAAGAAACUUUCUCUCUUUUACUCCACUUAAAACUUUCAAUUUAGAUUUCUUUCUCUCUCUCAUACACACACACACACACACACACGUUAGCUUCCCUUCCUGUUUACACACACACACACACACACACACACUUCUAUCAACCUAUGUUGGCAGUUGUCACAUUUCUCAUCACUGCAGUGGUUCAACUGAACGUUGAGUCUUUUUUCUAACAUAAGACAAAUUUCUUUUCAGAUAUAUAUUUUUUUCUUUCAACAUUUUCCAUCUCCCUCCCUUUUCUCUAUCAUUUUCCACUUUAAGGUAAAGAAGCAGAAAGAAAAGGACUCUUCUUUAUGAAAUAUUUUAUGGAUUAUUUAUUUUUUUAAGGAUCUCUGGGAGAACUCAAUAAACGAUCCAUUUGAUAAUCAA
Molecule: unclassified non-coding RNA, 5800 nt
Filed under: Octopus sinensis (East Asian common octopus)
Lineage: Eukaryota; Metazoa; Mollusca; Cephalopoda; Octopoda; Octopodidae
Description: ribonucleoprotein PTB-binding 1, transcript variant X1
Source: RNAcentral